GAUGAACGCUGGCGGCGUGCUUAACACAUGCAAGUCGAACGGUGAAGGAAGAGCUUGCUCUUCUGGAUCAGUGGCGAACGGGUGAGUAACACGUGAGUAACCUGCCCUUAACUCUGGGAUAAGCGUUGGAAACGACGUCUAAUACCGGAUACGAGCUUCAGCCGCAUGGCUAGGAGUUGGAAAGAAUUUCGGUCAAGGAUGGACUCGCGGCCUAUCAGGUUGUUGGUGAGGUAAUGGCUCACCAAGCCUACGACGGGUAGCCGGCCUGAGAGGGUGACCGGCCACACUGGGACUGAGGCACGGCCCAGACUCCUACGGGAGGCAGCAGUGGGGAAUAAUGCACAAUGGGCGAAAGCCUGAUGCAGCAACGCCGCGUGAGGGACGACGGCCUUCGGGUUGUAAACCUCUUUUAGCAGGGAAGAAGCGAAAGUGACGGUACCUGCAGAAAAAGCACCGGCUAACUACGUGCCAGCCGCCGCGGUAA
This 484-nucleotide ribosomal RNA is filed under the name uncultured bacterium. RNAcentral describes it as "partial 16S ribosomal RNA". It matches the Rfam family "Bacterial small subunit ribosomal RNA", at positions 28 to 523 of the family's 1533-position model. The record is from RNAcentral.